Molecule: ribosomal RNA, 492 nt
Filed under: uncultured bacterium
Lineage: Bacteria
Description: partial 16S ribosomal RNA
Rfam family: Bacterial small subunit ribosomal RNA
Source: RNAcentral
AUUGAACGCUGGCGGCAUGCUUUACACAUGCAAGUCGAACGGUAACAGGCCUUCGGGUGCUGACGAGUGGCGAACGGGUGAGUAAUGCAUCGGAACGUACCCAGAGGUGGGGGAUAACGCAGCGAAAGCUGUGCUAAUACCGCAUGUGAUCUGAGGAUGAAAGCGGGGGACCGAGCAGCAAUGUUUGGCCUCGCGCCUUUGGAGCGGCCGAUGUCGGAUUAGCUAGUUGGUGGGGUAAAGGCCUACCAAGGCGACGAUCCGUAGUUGGUCUGAGAGGACGACCAGCCACACUGGGACUGAGACACGGCCCAGACUCCUACGGGAGGCAGCAGUGGGGAAUUUUGGACAAUGGGCGCAAGCCUGAUCCAGCAAUGCCGCGUGCGGGAAGAAGGCCUUCGGGUUGUAAACCGCUUUUGGCAGGAACGAAACGGUGUCCGCUAAUACCGGGCGCUAAUGACGGUACCUGCAGAAUAAGCACCGGCUAACUACGUG